This 429-nucleotide ribosomal RNA is filed under the name Chloroflexota bacterium. RNAcentral's name for it is "Chloroflexi bacterium partial 16S ribosomal RNA". It matches the Rfam family "Bacterial small subunit ribosomal RNA", at positions 355 to 776 of the family's 1533-position model. The record is from RNAcentral. Lineage: Bacteria; Bacillati; Chloroflexota.
UAGGGAAUUUUCGGCAAUGGACGAAAGUCUGACCGAGCAACGCCGCGUGAGUGAAGAAGGCUUUCGGAUCGUAAAACUCUGUUGUUAGAGAAGAACAAGGACGGUAGUAACUGAACGUCCGCUGACGGUAUCUAACCAGAAAGCCACGGCUAACUACGUGCCAGCAGCCGCGGUAAUACGUAGGUGGCAAGCGUUGUCCGGAAUUAUUGGGCGUAAAGCGAGCGCAGGCGGUUUCUUAAGUCUGAUGUGAAAGCCCCCGGCUCAACCGGGGAAGGUCAUUGGAAACUGGGAAACUUGAGUGCAGAAGAGGAGAGUGGAAUUCCAUGUGUAGCGGUGAAAUGCGUAGAUAUAUGGAGGAACACCAGUGGCGAAGGCGGCUCUCUGGUCUGUAACUGACGCUGAGGCUCGAAAGCGUGGGGAGCAAACAGG